Molecule: ribosomal RNA, 575 nt
Filed under: Pichia manshurica
Lineage: Eukaryota; Fungi; Ascomycota; Pichiomycetes; Pichiales; Pichiaceae
Description: LSU rRNA
Rfam family: Eukaryotic large subunit ribosomal RNA
Source: RNAcentral
UAGGGGAAAUUGCCCCAGUAGCGGCGAGUGAAGCGGCAAGAGCUCAGAUUUGAAAUCGUGUUUCGGCACGAGUUGUAGAGUGUAGGCGGGAGUCUCUGUGGAGCGCGGUGUCCAAGUCCCUUGGAACAGGGUGCCUGAGAGGGUGAGAGCCCCGUAGGGUGCUGCGCGAAGCUUUUGAGGCCCUGCUGACGAGUCGAGUUGUUUGGGAAUGCAGCUCCAAGCGGGUGGUAAAUUCCAUCUAAGGCUAAAUAUUGGCGAGAGACCGAUAGCGAACAAGUACUGUGAAGGAAAGAUGAAAAGCACUUUGAAAAGAGAGUGAAACAGCACGUGAAAUUGUUGAAAGGGAAGGGUAUUGGGCUCGACAUGGGGGGUGCGCACCGCUGUCUCUUGUAGGCGGCGCUCUGGGCGCCCUCUGGGCCAGCAUCGGUUCCUGCUGCGGGAGAAGGGGCUCCGGAAAGUGGCUCUUCGGAGUGUUAUAGCCGGGGCCAGAUGCCGCGUGUGGGGACCGAGGACUGCGGCUUCUGUCUCGGAUGCUGGCAUAACGGCGCAAUACCGCCCGUCUUGAAACACGGAAC